CAAUAGCGUAUAUUAAAGUUGUUGCAGUUAAAAAGCUCGUAGUUGGAUUUCUGGCUUGUGCUGCCGAGAUCGCAGUUCGACUGUGUAUCUUGGCGCCGGCCAUCUUUCUGCAGACGUUUUCUGGCAUUCAUUUGUUGGGAUUCUGCGAGCAGAUAUUUUACCUUGAGAAAAUUAGAGUGUUUCAGGUAGGCUAGGCCCGAAUACAUUAGCAUGGAAUAAUAGAACAGGACUCCGUUGUCAUUUGUUGGUUUGAGGCAGUGGAGUAAUGAUUAAUAGGGAUAGUUGGGGGCAUUAGUAUUUAAUUGUCAGAGGUGAAAUUCUCGGAUUUGUUAAAGACUAACUUAUGCGAAAGCAUUUGCCAAGGAUGUUUUCAUUAA
RNAcentral lists this ribosomal RNA (377 nucleotides) under uncultured eukaryote. RNAcentral describes it as "partial 18S ribosomal RNA". It matches the Rfam family "Eukaryotic small subunit ribosomal RNA", at positions 592 to 976 of the family's 1831-position model. The record is from RNAcentral.